UACGUAGGGGGCAAGCGUUGUCCGGAUUCAUUGGGCGUAAAGAGCGUGUAGGCGGCCAGGUAGGUCGGUUGUGAAAACUGGAGGCUCAACCUUCAGACGUCGACCGAAACCAUCUGGCUAGAGUCCGGGAGAGGAGAGUGGAAUUCCUGGUGUAGCGGUGAAAUGCGCAGAUAUCAGGAAGAACACCCGUGGCGAAGGCGGCUCUCUGGGACGGUACUGACGCUGAGGUGCGAAAGCGUGGGGAGCAAACAGG
RNAcentral lists this ribosomal RNA (253 nucleotides) under uncultured bacterium. RNAcentral's name for it is "partial 16S ribosomal RNA". It matches the Rfam family "Bacterial small subunit ribosomal RNA", at positions 524 to 776 of the family's 1533-position model. The record is from RNAcentral.